RNAcentral lists this ribosomal RNA (631 nucleotides) under uncultured bacterium. RNAcentral describes it as "bacterial SSU rRNA". It matches the Rfam family "Bacterial small subunit ribosomal RNA", at positions 62 to 693 of the family's 1533-position model. The record is from RNAcentral.
UCGAACGAAGCAUUUCGGAGGAAGUUUUCGGAUGGAAUCUGGAAUGACUGAGUGGCGGACGGGUGAGUAACGCGUGGGUAACCUGCCCUGUACUGGGGGACAACAGUUAGAAAUGACUGCUAAUACCGCAUAAGCGCACAGGACCGCAUGGUCCGGUGCGAAAAACUCCGGUGGUACAGGAUGGACCCGCGUCUGAUUAGGUAGUUGGCGGGGUAACGGCCCACCAAGCCGACGAUCAGUAGCCGACCUGAGAGGGUGACCGGCCACAUUGGGACUGAGACACGGCCCAAACUCCUACGGGAGGCAGCAGUGGGGAAUAUUGCACAAUGGGGGGAACCCUGAUGCAGCGACGCCGCGUGAGUGAAGAAGUAUUUCGGUAUGUAAAGCUCUAUCAGCAGGGAAGAAAAUGACGGUACCUGACUAAGAAGCCCCGGCUAACUACGUGCCAGCAGCCGCGGUAAUACGUAGGGGGCAAGCGUUAUCCGGAUUUACUGGGUGUAAAGGGAGCGUAGACGGUAGAGCAAGUCUGAAGUGAAAGCCCGCGGCUCAACUGCGGGACUGCUUUGGAAACUGUUCAACUGGAGUGCUGGAGAGGUAAGCGGAAUUCCUAGUGUAGCGGUGAAAUGCGUAG